RNAcentral lists this ribosomal RNA (301 nucleotides) under uncultured bacterium. RNAcentral describes it as "partial 16S ribosomal RNA". It matches the Rfam family "Bacterial small subunit ribosomal RNA", at positions 509 to 807 of the family's 1533-position model. The record is from RNAcentral.
CAGUAGCCACGGUAAUACGUAGGUCCCGAGCGUUGUCCGGAUUUAUUGGGCGUAAAGCGAGCGCAGGCGGUUAGAUAAGUCUGAUGUGAAAGCCCACGGCUCAACCGUGGAGGGUCAUUGGAAACUGUUAAACUUGAGUGCAGGAGAGAAAAGUGGAAUUCCUAGUGUAGCGGUGAAAUGCGUAGAGAUUAGGAGGAACACCAGUGGCGAAAGCGGCUUUUUGGCCUGUAACUGACACUGAGGCGCGAAAGCGUGGGGAGCAAACAGGAUUAGAGACCCCCGUAGUCCCUGUCUCUUAUAC